GACGAACGCUGGCGGCGUGCUUAACACAUGCAAGUCGAACGGAAAGGCCCUGCUUUUGUGGGGUGCUCGAGUGGCGAACGGGUGAGUAACACGUGAGUAACCUGCCCUUGACUUUGGGAUAACUUCAGGAAACUGGGGCUAAUACCGGAUAGGAGCUCCUGCUGCAUGGUGGGGGUUGGAAAGUUUCGGCGGUUGGGGAUGGACUCGCGGCUUAUCAGCUUGUUGGUGGGGUAGUGGCUUACCAAGGCUUUGACGGGUAGCCGGCCUGAGAGGGUUACCGGCCACAUUGGGACUGGGAUACGGCCCAGACUCCUACGGGAGGCAGCAGUGGGGAAUAUUGCACUAUGGGCGGAAGCCUGAUGCAGCAACGCCGCGUGCGUGAUGACGGCCUUCGGGUUGUACACCGCUUUCGCCUGUGACGAAGCGUGAGUGACGGUAAUGGGUAAAGAAGCACCGGCUAACUACGUG
Molecule: ribosomal RNA, 468 nt
Filed under: uncultured bacterium
Lineage: Bacteria
Description: partial 16S ribosomal RNA
Rfam family: Bacterial small subunit ribosomal RNA
Source: RNAcentral